RNAcentral lists this unclassified non-coding RNA (342 nucleotides) under soil metagenome. Its description in RNAcentral is "partial contains 5.8S ribosomal RNA, internal transcribed spacer 2, and large subunit ribosomal RNA". The stretch from base 1 to 120 matches the Rfam family "5.8S ribosomal RNA", at positions 35 to 154 of the family's 154-position model. The record is from RNAcentral.
GAUGAAGAACGUAGCGAAAUGCGAUAAGUAAUGUGAAUUGCAGAAUUCAGUGAAUCAUCGAAUCUUUGAACGCACAUUGCGCCCGCCAGAACUCUGGCGGGCAUGCCUGUUCGAGCGUCAUUUCAACCAUCAAGCCCCCAGGGGCUUGUGCUGGGGCCCUGCGGCUGCCCGCAGGCCCUGAAAACCAGUGGCGGGCUCGCUAGUCACACCGAGCGCAGUAGCACAUCUCGCUCAGGGCGUGCGGCGGGCUCCUGCCGUGAAACCCCCCACUGUAACCCCAAAGGUUGACCUCGGAUCAGGUAGGAAUACCCGCUGAACUUAAGCAUAUCAAUAAGCGGAGGA